GGUCAUCAGGUCCUGCCCCAGGAAACAACUGGGUCCCAAAUUGGACCAAGUCUCCAGACCUUGCAAGAGGCCGAUAAGACCAGACAUUUGAUUGGAACCAGAAGGUAAGACAGCAAAAGAUAUCUCCAAGGAGCUGGGACUGUUUUAUGCUGAGGGAUCUAAGACCUGAGAGGCAUUUGGAAGAGGGAAAAUCAGUGAGUCUGGCCUGAAAGGAGGCAGCAAAGCAGAGGCAUGUCAGGGACAGGAUCUAUUUGGCCUCAGAGGACCUUCUCUGCCUGACGACAGCAGCCAUUCAACCCCACCCCUUUGUCUCUGCAUGAGGAGGCUCUCCUCUCACUCACCAUCUUACCCUGAUUAUGUCUGGGCAUGUUAAAACUGACGCCAGCCAUUGGGAUACGUAACUCACUACUUGCAUGUAACAAAGUAACAGAAGAACGAGGAAACACUGUGAGCGUCAUAUAAGAGAAUCAGGACCAAUGGGCCACUUGUCGCCAUGGUAACCAUAAUCAAAACAAGGAUUCCAGCUUUCCUGAAGCUGGUGUUUAAUGAUGAUUGUAUUACACAGAGGAGUAACUAAUCCCACAGUGCAUUAUAAACAGAGUUUCUCGUAGCCAACAUCAUCAGUGACGGAGAAAAGAACUUGCAACCUGGACAAAGUACAUUUCUCAAGGUCUCAGGAAGAAAGAGCAGUCUGGACAAGAGGGAAAUCAGCACACAGGGAAGCUGACUUCAAUUUUCUCUUCUACUCUGAUUCAUCAUUGGGCCAAGGGCCCAAGACCAACCAGUUCCCGUGUCUCAUUUCAGAUUUGCAUGAAGAGUCUGAUAAGUUGCUGACCUGACAAUGAAUAGAUCACCCCAUGAUCAGUGUCUGUGCUACUUCCUUGACUUUAACAUGGAGAUGGUGUCAUACACAGAGUUGUAAUCAAGUGCCUGCUCUUUGGUGGCUGCACUAGUUUCUGGCUGUGCAACCACAAGCAACGACCUAGCCUCUCUGAUCUUCCUUUUUUUUUUUUCACCUAUAAAAUGAAUGUGCCCCAUGGGACUGUCAUAAGGAUUUUUAAAAAGAUCAUGUAUGUAAACUCCUUAUCCUAGGGCCUGGUACAUAGUCAGUGUCAAAUUAAUAUUAGUCAUUAUUAUUACCAUCAUCAUCAUCAUUCAGUCAGGAGGGCCAUUUUCAGAGCUUCAAGUUGAGCACCCAAAUUUAUUCCCAGCCAAGCCCAGCCUCCCCCCAUUUAUUAAAAAACAUAAUC
Molecule: long non-coding RNA, 1250 nt
Filed under: Equus caballus (horse)
Lineage: Eukaryota; Metazoa; Chordata; Mammalia; Perissodactyla; Equidae
Description: lncRNA (ENSECAG00000047904.1)
Source: RNAcentral